GCUGGCCAAAGGUAAGAGUUCUUACCAACUCAGCCUCCUGGAUCUCUGACUGCAGGGUUAGGUCAAAGUGAGAGUGGUACCUAUGGGAAGACUAGCAAAUGGAGAUCCUGGGUUGGAGAAGUUACAGGAUUGUCUUAAGAGGAUGGCACUGUGGAGAUGGAAUGGAGAUGGGACAAUCAGAAUCAUCAACUGUAGCUGAACAGCAACUGCCUGAAGCUGAGAACCCACCUUUUAAAAGUUGAAGCUGGAUAACCUGAUAUGAACUUCUGAGAAAUCAACACAACAGCUCACAUAUGGACAACCUGUGGGCUACUCAGACAUUACUACAGACAUUCAAACUGCAAAAGAUACUUCAAAUCCAACAUCUGGAAAUCUCAUCUGGCCACCUACUAGACUCAGAAACUGGUUUCUAGUCUGCUCCAAUCAUUAACUUUUGUUUUUCUCUUGUUUCCAGAGAAAUGACUCUUUAUGUGUUAUGGGACAAUCUACGAAUUCCAUUUCUGGACUGUGAAACUUCUUGGGAAAGUUUCAGACAGGGGAAUGUUGGGGCUCAGGACACACCAUCCCUAAAUAUACCACUUAAGAAAUCA
Microcebus murinus (gray mouse lemur) is the source of this 590-nucleotide long non-coding RNA. RefSeq lists it as uncharacterized. The record is from RefSeq and is a predicted model, not a curated record. NCBI's taxonomy places the organism in Eukaryota, Metazoa, Chordata, Mammalia, Primates, Cheirogaleidae.